GACGAACGCUGGCGGCGUGCUUAACACAUGCAAGUCGAACGGAAAGGCCCUGCUUUUGUGGGGUGCUCGAGUGGCGAACGGGUGAGUAACACGUGAGUAACCUGCCCUUGACUUUGGGAUAACUUCAGGAAACUGGGGCUAAUACCGGAUAUGAGCUCCUGCUGCAUGGUGGGGGUUGGAAAGUUUCGGCGGUUGGGGAUGGACUCGCGGCUUAUCAGCUUGUUGGUGGGGUAGUGGCUUACCAAGGCUUUGACGGGUAGCCGGCCUGAGAGGGUGACCGGGCACAUUGGGACUGAGAUACGGCGCAGAAGCGUACGGGAGGCAGGAGUGGGGAAUAUUGCGGAAUGGGGGGAAGCCUGAUGCAGCAACGCCGGGUGCGGGAUGACGGCCUUCGGGUGGUAAACAGCUGUCGCCGGUGACGAAGCGUGAGUGACGGUAAUGGGUAAAGAAGCACCGGCUAACUACGUG
This 468-nucleotide ribosomal RNA is filed under the name uncultured bacterium. RNAcentral describes it as "partial 16S ribosomal RNA". It matches the Rfam family "Bacterial small subunit ribosomal RNA", at positions 28 to 507 of the family's 1533-position model. The record is from RNAcentral.